This is a long non-coding RNA of Ictalurus punctatus (channel catfish), 295 nucleotides long. RefSeq lists it as uncharacterized. The record is from RefSeq and is a predicted model, not a curated record. Lineage: Eukaryota; Metazoa; Chordata; Actinopteri; Siluriformes; Ictaluridae. The transcript is spliced from 2 exons.
UGACGGCCAAGAAGAAGACAGCACCGGAAGACGCUAAAACUCUAGCAGACAUAGAUCCCGCUGUACCGACUACCUUUCGUAGCAGGAAAGGUAAAUCAGGACGGGUACAUGCUGAUGGAGGAACACUCAGGUAGACUUCACAGGAACCUUCUGGAGUCUUACAGUAAUUCUAGUAAAUUGUGUACUGACUUAUCAUUGUGCAGUAAAUCCCUACAAUACUACAUGUUCCUAUUAUUCUGAUAAAGUGCUGAAAUAUGUGUGUGUGAGAGUGUCCUACAAUAAAGUGAUCAAAUGU